Molecule: ribosomal RNA, 494 nt
Filed under: uncultured bacterium
Lineage: Bacteria
Description: partial 16S ribosomal RNA
Rfam family: Bacterial small subunit ribosomal RNA
Source: RNAcentral
GACGAACGCUGGCGGCGUGCUUAACACAUGCAAGUCGAACGGUGAAGCGCCUUCCUUUUUGGUGGGUGUGGAUGAGUGGCGAACGGGUGAGUAACACGUGAGUAACCUGCCCCCUUUUACUGGAUAACCGCAUGAAAGUGUGGCUAAUACGGGAUAUUCUGGGUCUGUCGCAUGAUGGGUCUGGGAAAGAUAUUGUUUCGGUGGGGGAUGGGCUCGCGGAUUAUCAGCUUGUUGGUGGGGUGAUGGCUUACCAAGGCGGUGGCGGGUAGCCGGCCUGGGAGGGUAGGCGGAAACACAGGGCCUGAGACACGGACAAGACUCCGACGGGCAGCAGCGGUGUAGAGUAGUGGACAAUGGGCAGAAGCCUGAUGCAGCGACGCCGGGUGAGGGAUGGCGGCCUGCGGGUUGUGUGCCUCUUUCGCCAGUGAAGCGGGCCUGCCUGGUUUGUGGGUGGGUUGACGGUAGCUGGAGAAGAAGCGCCGGCUAACUACGUG